CAAGUACUCCCUCCGUCCUAAAAUUCUUGUCUUAAAUUUGUUUAGAUAUGAAUGUNNNNNGUCAAGUUUUAGUAUUUAGAUACAUUCAUUUUUAAAUAAAUCUAAGACAAGAAUUUUGAGACGGAGGAAGUAAUAU
Molecule: non-coding RNA, 136 nt
Organism: Hordeum vulgare subsp. vulgare (domesticated barley)
Lineage: Eukaryota; Viridiplantae; Streptophyta; Magnoliopsida; Poales; Poaceae
Source: Rfam